GGUAGAAUAUUAUAUAAUAUUAUUUACGUAACCCGCGCGAUGCGGCGGGCAAAAUACAAAGCAAAUUAAAGAUGUUCAGCGAAAACUGUGAAAAAAAAUAUUUAGAUAGUAAUAUACUCAUUCACUAUUAUUUCAUAAUAUAAAAUAGACUUCUAGAAAGAUUAAAGAUUGUAAAAAUUAAACUAUUAGGCAAAAAACUUAAAAUAUAGCAGAAGAAUCAUCAACAAAUGUAACUCAAAAUUUAUAAUAAAAUAUUUACGAAAAAGGAAAAUUCUAUAUCUAUCUUCUAUCUAUACAAUACAUUAUUUGACAAUUCUAAAAAGGCCACAUGGCGCCCUCUUAUUACGCCUCUCUUUUUCUCUCUCUCCUAUGUUUCUCUCUCUCUUUCUCUCUCUCCUAUGUUUCUCUCUCUCUUUCCCUUCCCGAAGCAUCUCUCUCCCUCUCUCUCUAUCUCAUACAAAAUCUUACAAAAUCUUCUCCUCUCUCCUACUACUCUCUCUCCCCCGAUCUCUCUCUUUCUCACAAAAUUCAUAAAAUCUUAUAAAAUCUUCUCCUAUCCUUCCUCUUAUUCUCUCUCCCCAUUACCCUCCCCCACUCUCUCUCUCUCUUACAAAAUUCUAUAAAAUCUUACAAAAUCUUCUCCUCUCCCUCCUACUACUUUCUCUCUCUUAUCUCUCUCUCUAGAUCUCUCAAUCAUAUCAUAUCCUAUAAAAUUUUAAAAAUCAUCCCUUCUUCCUUCUCCUACUUUCUCUCUCUUCUCUUCUUCCUCCUACUUUCUCUCUCUCUUACUGGAUCAAUCAUAUUAUAUAAAAUCUUAUACAAUCUUCUCAAAAUGCUUCUAAUAUUUUCUUCCUCUUAUUCUCUCUCUCUCUUACCCUCCCCCACUCUCUCUCUCUUACAAAAUCCUAUAAAAUCUUACAAAAUCUUCUCCUCUCCCUCCUACUACUCUCUCUUUCUUAUCUCUCUUUCUGGAUCUCUCAAUCAUAUCAUAUCCUAUAAAAUUUUAAAAAUCCUCUCUUCUUUCUUCUCCUACUUUCUCUCUCUUCUCUUCUUCCUCCUACUUUCUCUCUCUCUUACUGGAUCAAUCAUAUUAUUAAAAUCUUAUACAAUCUUCUCAAAAUGCUUUUAAUAUUUUCUUCCUCUUAUUCUCUCUCUCCCUUACCCUCCCCCACUCUCUCUCUCUUACAAAAUCUUAUAAAAUCUUACAAAAUCUUCUCCUCUCCCUCCCACUACUCUCCCUCUCUUAUCUCUCUUUCUGGAUCUCUCAAUCAUAUCAUAUUCUAUAAAAUUUUAAAAAUCUUCUCUUCUUCCUUCUCCUACUUUCUUUCUCUUCUCUUCUUCCUCUUACUUUCUCUCUCUCUUACUGGAUCAAUCAUAUUAUAUAAAAUCUUAUACAAUCUUCUCAAAAUGCUUCUAAUAGUUUCUCUACUUUGAUAGAACAAAUACAAAAAGAUCUCGCAUGCGAAGCUGCAGAAUUGCAUGCGGAGGAGCGACGGGGAGGAGCUUUCGGCCGAGGCAACAGCAGUGGUAACAGUUGGAUUUU
This 1543-nucleotide long non-coding RNA is filed under the name Ananas comosus (pineapple). RNAcentral's name for it is "long non-coding RNA (ACOM_LNC028967)". Lineage: Eukaryota; Viridiplantae; Streptophyta; Magnoliopsida; Poales; Bromeliaceae. The record is from RNAcentral.